AGGCAAGAAAAAUAAGCGAAAAUUCAUUCAAUGUGAAUUGAGGAGUGGGGUUUAUAUGUUUGAUUUACAUUCGACAAGUUUAUGGUGAACCCCUCUCAUGGAUAGAGAUUUAGACCCAAUACCAACUUAGAUGGGUAUGCAUGUUUUUAUUUUGUUCGGGAUCAUCUAGCGAAGUACUGCUGUGAUCAUGUUAUUUAUUUUUGACUUGUGUGUAUUCAGCUUGUCCAUGUAGUGUAGGAAUCCAUUUGUCACUCCUUGAUAAUAAUAUAAACGUCUUUGCGUGCUGAAACU
RNAcentral lists this long non-coding RNA (291 nucleotides) under Carica papaya (papaya). RNAcentral's name for it is "long non-coding RNA (CPAP_LNC013980)". The record is from RNAcentral. Lineage: Eukaryota; Viridiplantae; Streptophyta; Magnoliopsida; Brassicales; Caricaceae.